Molecule: ribosomal RNA, 530 nt
Filed under: Colletotrichum asianum
Lineage: Eukaryota; Fungi; Ascomycota; Sordariomycetes; Glomerellales; Glomerellaceae
Description: eukaryotic LSU rRNA
Rfam family: 5.8S ribosomal RNA (bases 184-337)
Source: RNAcentral
AGGGAUCAUUACUGAGUUUACGCUCUACAACCCUUUGUGAACAUACCUAUAACUGUUGCUUCGGCGGGUAGGGUCUCCGCGACACUCCCGGCCUCCCGCCCCCGGGCGGGUCGGCGCCCGCCGGAGGAUAACCAAACUCUGAUGUAACGACGUUUCUUCUGAGUGGUACAAGCAAAUAAUCAAAACUUUUAACAACGGAUCUCUUGGUUCUGGCAUCGAUGAAGAACGCAGCGAAAUGCGAUAAGUAAUGUGAAUUGCAGAAUUCAGUGAAUCAUCGAAUCUUUGAACGCACAUUGCGCCCGCCAGCAUUCUGGCGGGCAUGCCUGUUCGAGCGUCAUUUCAACCCUCAAGCUCUGCUUGGUGUUGGGGCCCUACAGCUGAUGUAGGCCCUCAAAGGUAGUGGCGGACCCUCCCGGAGCCUCCUUUGCGUAGUAACUUUACGUCUCGCACUGGGAUCCGGAGGGACUCUUGCCGUAAAACCCCCAAUUCUCCAAAGGUUGACCUCGGAUCAGGUAGGAAUACCCGCUGAA